Molecule: long non-coding RNA, 484 nt
Filed under: Equus caballus (horse)
Lineage: Eukaryota; Metazoa; Chordata; Mammalia; Perissodactyla; Equidae
Description: lncRNA (ENSECAG00000045849.1)
Source: RNAcentral
CUGGGCCACUGAAUUAAGGACAAGCAAACCAGUUAAACGUCCAAGGUAUCAGAGAUAUUCAUAUCAAGAUUACUUACAGAAUAACAAACAAACAACAGGAGCUUAGCCUGAAAAGGAAGUUUCAGGAGGAUAUGCAUGAAUUCUGUGAAAUCUUGAAAUAUAUAAACAAGAAGAACACCAAUUUACUUAGCAAAAUCAAGACUACAAGAGUCAAAAUGAACUAUUAAUAGUGCCCUUUUGGCUUCCUAUUACUUCCUAUUUGUUGAGCACCACAAAAGUGCCUACUGGGAUUAUGCGGCUUUAUGAUGCUAUAAGACUAAGAAUCAAAGAAUUCUUAUAUAACUAGCAGGAGAAGAGAAUCUAUGCUGUUAAAAUAUUUAGGUACUUGAUGUCUGACUUGUGUAUUUUAUCACUUCAUCUUUUCUAUGACUCAAGUGGACCUCGUUCUUCAAGGUCUUUAAAUACCUUUGUCCCUAGAACUAAG